GGUCUCUUCAGCAUAGCAACAGCAGCGUAGCUGAACAUCUUACGGAUGGCCCAGGGCUCCAAAGGCUCGUUUCCUAAGUGAGAGAGAGCCUGGCUGAAGCUGUAUUACCAUUCAUUCUCCAGCCUCCGAAGUCUCAAAGCAUCACUUCCACCAUACUCUAACUGUCAAGACAAACACAAAGGCCCAGAAACUGCCAGACUGUCUUCUGAAGUGGCUAUAAUAUUUACACUCCCAUCAGCAGUGUAGAAGGGGUCUCACUAUGUUGUCUGGAGUGCUGUGGUGGAGUGGAGUGGCUAUUCACAGCUGAGUUUGCAGAGUAAACCACUACCCUGAAAUCUGGAAAGGCAGGUGCACCCACAGAUCCUCAGCUGAGAUCCAAUUACCUGAAAUAGAAGCUGCCAUUAGGAACACUUAAAAGAGCCUGUUCUGCUGGGACACAGAAUCACUUGCUCCAUCUCAUACAUUGAUGAUGAUUAAUUUGUAUGUGUACCUUCCAAAAAAGAUGGUUGUGUUUGAAUGGAGGCCUUCUGGACAGGAAAAUUGCAAAGUACAAUUAACAUUUGAGUCUGUCUGAGUCAUGAAGAAAUGGAGAUUACUGAAAAUAAUUCAUUUUGGUAUCUUCUUACAUCCUGAGAGACUAAUCUUUCCAAGUUCAUCUGAGGCUCCUCUUCUCCAUGACAACCUCAUCCAGGGAUUUCUUCCUGUCCUGGUGUUUUAUGACAUCAUCCUCAUCUCGCUUGUAAGGAUAAUAGCCUUCCUCCAAACCUCACACACUUUUGGAGGAGAUCACUUUUUUUAAAGUGCAUGGAAAUGUUUUGAAACAGUGAAAUCUAUAAUGAUAGGUUUCAUAAUUCUAACAUCCACACCAUAUGAAUCACAUCCUUCCUGAGAUAAUGAGCACACAAUUGCCUGGAUACCUGAAGGAAUGGAGACAGCGGCAGAAAACACUGCAGAGAGGUGGAAACAUCCGUUAAUAUUUUAAAAUCCCAUUACUGCUACCAACAAUAAUAAUGGAUGCAUAGAAAUAGAUCUGGAUUAGCUGAGCUUGAAACAGUCCAUCUCACACACACACAAAAGAAUUUCAGAUACAGUGAACCCACAUGUUGAAGCUUUCUAGUAUAAUAAAAAUUUCAACUGUUCUGUUGAAUCAUCUGCCUGAUUGGAGGCUACAGAAAAGAUGUCAUCUUAGGAGUGCUUGCUCUGAGUGAGGCUCAUCUUCAAAUCUGAAUGACCACAAGGAGAUUUGAUUAUACAUGUGAACACCUCAGAAGGCACAGCCCACCCAGAAGGCAGACAGGUCAGGCUGCUUUUUCUUCAUUGCUUGGAUUCAAUCCUCCGGGCGGCUCAGGCUCAAACAUAACUUAAGCAUGAUUAAACUUUAGAAGAAGCUGCCAGGAAGACUGUGAAAUCUUCAUGCCCAAGGAUCCCUAAAAUUAGGAGCAACAACCACUUGGCUCAGACGGUUUAUGGAGGCAAAGGUUUGGAUGGGAUUAGAGAUUUCUAAAUGUGAGUUCGUGUCCUCUGCCAGACCACCUUACUUCCACCAUUCCUCAGCAAAUCAAGAAAAACAGGAGAAAAGACAUGCCUUUCCAUAAGUUAAAUCUAUUCUGUUUUAAUUCUAUAUUAUAUCUGCUGUACAACUUCUUUUGUUUGUAACACCAUAUUGUUGCUAGUAACUGGAAAUUAAUUUUCACAUGCCUCAGCUUAGAAAAAUAAAAAGCAGCCCUGCAUCAAUCCCAAU
Molecule: long non-coding RNA, 1741 nt
Organism: Homo sapiens (human)
Lineage: Eukaryota; Metazoa; Chordata; Mammalia; Primates; Hominidae
Product: long intergenic non-protein coding RNA 635
Source: Ensembl